Molecule: ribosomal RNA, 612 nt
Filed under: uncultured archaeon
Lineage: Archaea
Description: bacterial SSU rRNA
Rfam family: Archaeal small subunit ribosomal RNA
Source: RNAcentral
GUACCUACUAGCCUACGACGGGUACGGGUUGUGAGAGCAAGAGCCCGGAGAUGGAUUCUGAGACAUGAAUCCAGGCCCUACGGGGCGCAGCAGGCGCGAAAACUUUACAAUGCUGGAAACAGCGAUAAGGGGACCUCGAGUGCCAGGAUACAAUCCUGGCUGUCGUAAUGCCUAAAAGCAUUGCAUAGCAAGGGCCGGGCAAGACCGGUGCCAGCCGCCGCGGUAACACCGGCGGCUCGAGUGGUAACCGCUAUUAUUGGGUCUAAAGGGUCUGUAGCCGGCUGACUAAGUCUCUUGGGAAAUCUGACAGCUUAACUGUCAGGCUUUCAGGAGAUACUGAUCGGCUCGAGACCGGGAGAGGUGAGAGGUACCUCAGGGGUAGGGGUGAAAUCUUGUAAUCCUUGAGGGACCACCAGUGGCGAAGGCGUCUCACCAGAACGGAUCUGACGGCAAGGGACGAAAGCUAGGGGCACGAACCGGAUUAGAUACCCGGGUAGUCCUAGCCGUAAACGAUACUCGCUAGGUGUCGGCCACGGUGCGACCGUGGUCGGUGCCGUAGGGAAGCCGUGAAGCGAGCCACCUGGGAAGUACGGCCGCAAGGCUGAAACUUAA